UGGGGAAUAUUGCACAAUGGAGGGAACUCUGAUGCAGCAACGCCGCGUGCGGGAUGACGGCCCUCGGGUUGUAAACCGCUUUCAGCCAUGACGAAGCUUUUGUGACGGCAGUGGUAGAAGAAGCACCGGCUAACUACGUGCCAGCAGCCGCGGCCAUACGUAGGGCGCGAGCGUUGUCCGGAAUGAUUGGGCGUAAAGAGCUUGUAGGCGGUUUGUCGCGUCGAUAGUGUAAACACGCAGCUUAACUGUGUGCCUGCUGUCGAUACGGGCUGACUCGAGGAGGGUAGGGGAGAAUGGGAUUCCCGGUGGAGCGGUGGAAUGCGCAGCUAUCGGGAGGAACUCCAGUGGCGAAGGGGGUUCUCUGGACCUUUCCUGACGCUGAUAAGAGAAAGGGUGGGUAGCAAACAGG
Molecule: ribosomal RNA, 409 nt
Filed under: Fusobacteriota bacterium
Lineage: Bacteria; Fusobacteriati; Fusobacteriota
Description: Fusobacteria bacterium partial 16S ribosomal RNA
Rfam family: Bacterial small subunit ribosomal RNA
Source: RNAcentral